GAAUAUAACACUAGCUGCCUGACACUUUAUUUUAAUUUUUUUGUUUAAUUCAGGUUUCACAGAUGUGCAAAAUUGGUGGGAAAAAUGUGAAGGACUGUGCGAGGAAAAUGCUGGACAGGGUUUUGUAAAAUUCCCUAAUGUCUUGUUUCAACAUGAAGGGGGUUGGUUUGCUGCAGAAGACAGCAUUUCAGGCAACCACACUGUUCUCAGUGAUUGCAGAUGCAGAGAUGACCAUCUUCCCAAAAGCUACAGAAUUUGAAAUAAAAAAUGCAAUCGGGGAGCAUUUUAAACAGGCACCAGGGAGAGUUGGGGGGGGUUGGGGGGGGUGGAUACAGGAAAAAAAUAAUUUAGUAAAAUAAUUGGUUCAUUUUCCUUUUUGAAUUUAUUUAUUUCCUUUUUUUUUACCGCAUUUAAUGUUUUCUAUUGUGACUGACAUUUCAAUGUUAGCUGUUCAAUGUUUACUUAUUGUUAAUGUUGCUUCUAUUAAUAAAAUCUUUAUUUAAUCAGUUUAAAUUUGCCAUUUACGAUAUCCUGUUAAUUAAGUAUUUGUGUUUUGUUGUCUAUUAAAUGAAGGCUAU
RNAcentral lists this long non-coding RNA (578 nucleotides) under Danio rerio (zebrafish). RNAcentral describes it as "lncRNA (ENSDARG00000117531.1)". The record is from RNAcentral. Lineage: Eukaryota; Metazoa; Chordata; Actinopteri; Cypriniformes; Danionidae.